AGGCGGCUGACUAUACUGCAGUCGAGCGGAGUUGAUGGGAAGCUUGCUUCCUUGAUGCUUACCGGCGGACGGGUGAGUAACACGUAGGCAACCUGCCCUCAAGCUUGGGACAACUACCGGAAACGGUAGCUAAUACCGAAUACUUGUUUUCUUCGCCUGAAGAAAACUGGAAAGACGGAGCAAUCUGUCACUUGAGGAUGGGCCUGCGGCGCAUUAGCUAGUUGGUGAGGUAACGGCUCACCAAGGCGACGAUGCGUAACCGACCUGAGAGGGUGAUCGGCCACACUGGGACUGAGACACGGCCCACACUCCUACGGGAGGCAGCAGUAGGGAAUCUUCCGCAAUGGGCGAAAGCCUGACGGAGCAAUGCCGCGUGAGUGAUGAAGGUUUUCGGAUCGUAAAGCUCUGUUGCCAGGGAAGAACGCUUGUGAGAGUAACUGCUCUCUGGGUGACGGUACCUGAGAAGAAAGCCCCGGCUAACUACGUGCCAGCAGCCGCGGUAAUACGUAGGGGGCAAGCGUUGUCCGGAAUUAUUGGGCGUAAAGCGCGCGCAGGCGGUCAUUUAAGUCUGGUGUUUAAUCCCGGGGCUCAACCCCGGAUCGCACUGGAACUGGAUGACUUGAGUGCAGAAGAGAGAGUGUAAUUCCACGUGUACUAAAAGGGGGAAAAAAAAGG
This 675-nucleotide ribosomal RNA is filed under the name Paenibacillus sp. MUR10. RNAcentral describes it as "bacterial SSU rRNA". It matches the Rfam family "Bacterial small subunit ribosomal RNA", at positions 37 to 701 of the family's 1533-position model. The record is from RNAcentral. Lineage: Bacteria; Bacillati; Bacillota; Bacilli; Caryophanales; Paenibacillaceae.